RNAcentral lists this long non-coding RNA (1132 nucleotides) under Phasianus colchicus (ring-necked pheasant). Its description in RNAcentral is "lncRNA (ENSPCLG00000015237.1)". The record is from RNAcentral. Lineage: Eukaryota; Metazoa; Chordata; Aves; Galliformes; Phasianidae.
AUGGCAGCAGAAGAUGCAGCACAGCCCUCUCCAGCAGCAAGGCAGGACACGGGCAGCAGGACUGCAGCUCCUCUGGCAGCUUUGCAGCUACAUCAGGAAGCAGAAGACGUGGAUUUAACAGAAGAACUCAGUUACUGGGAUGUUCCCCUGUUCUUCCCCUACCUGUCCCCUUGCCUCAGCCCGGAUUCCUCUUGCAUUCUCGUAGGUGUCCCUUCCAUCCCCCAGGGUGCUCCUUGCUUCCCCCAAGCUAACCCUUUACCUUCGCAUAACAGCCCACCCACAAUUUCCUCAGAGCCCCAAUAGCUCCCUCAGUAUUUCCCCAGCAAGACCCUGUAGGCACCCCACAACCCCCCAGAGAGCCCAGAGCCCUUUACUGACCUCCUCAGACCUGGUACUCCUCCCUCAUUGCUGGCCAAAAACCUCACAAACCUCCAUAGUCCCCAGCAGCACCCCAUAUCGCCCACUGGACUACCACUGAACCCCCUUAUUUCCUCCCUCAGACCUCCCUUAACACCUCCAGGGCUCCUUACCAAACUCACAGAAAACCACACUCCCUGACAGCACCCCUGUCACCAAUACCAGGCCCCUCCUCUCCCCCUGCUCCUGCAGGCUCUGUUGUCAUAUCCAUCCCAUGGCCGUAUAUCCCCCACACCCCGCCACAGAGCCCCAUAACUCCUCCAGGAGCUCCUCAGACUUGGUGCACCUCCCCCACAGCCAGCCUGGGACCUCACAGAGCCCCAUAGUCCCCAGCAGCACCCCUUAUCCCUGCUCUGGGCUCCCCUAGAUCCCCCCUAUUUCCUCCUUUGGACCUCCCUAACCCCCCUUGGGUCAUCCCUUGGAUCUCGCAGGCCCCCACAGUCCCUGGCAGGACCCCCGUCACAAGUCCAGGACCCCAGUAGCCCACCUGGUGCUGCUGAACCCAGCAUCCUCAGUGAGCUGUGCCACAGUGCGGCACACUGAGCCCUUCUGCAUUGCUGCAGAACGGAACACAUGCAGAUCCCAGGUCAGUGGACACUGCUCUGCAGGUCACUGCCUGGCCCAGGAACUCCUCCCCUGUGCUGUCUGUGAAAGUCUUUUCUUUGCUCCUGGCACAUCUUCCAUCUCCAGAGCACAUGAGAUCCGAAACACUCUG